RNAcentral lists this ribosomal RNA (2921 nucleotides) under Staphylococcus aureus M0688. RNAcentral's name for it is "bacterial LSU rRNA". It matches the Rfam family "Bacterial large subunit ribosomal RNA". The record is from RNAcentral. Lineage: Bacteria; Bacillati; Bacillota; Bacilli; Caryophanales; Staphylococcaceae.
UUAAGUUAUUAAGGGCGCACGGUGGAUGCCUUGGCACUAGAAGCCGAUGAAGGACGUUACUAACGACGAUAUGCUUUGGGGAGCUGUAAGUAAGCUUUGAUCCAGAGAUUUCCGAAUGGGGAAACCCAGCAUGAGUUAUGUCAUGUUAUCGAUAUGUGAAUACAUAGCAUAUCAGAAGGCACACCCGGAGAACUGAAACAUCUUAGUACCCGGAGGAAGAGAAAGAAAAUUCGAUUCCCUUAGUAGCGGCGAGCGAAACGGGAAGAGCCCAAACCAAAAAGCUUGCUUGUUGGGGUUGUAGGACACUCUAUACGGAGUUACAAAGGACGACAUUAGACGAAUCAUCUGGAAAGAUGAAUCAAAGAAGGUAAUAAUCCUGUAGUCGAAAAUGUUGUCUCUCUUAAGUGGAUCCUGAGUACGACGGAGCACGUGAAAUUCCGUCGGAAUCUGGGAGGACCAUCUCCUAAGGCUAAAUACUCUCUAGUGACCGAUAGUGAACCAGUACCGUGAGGGAAAGGUGAAAAGCACCCCGGAAGGAGAGUGAAAUAGAACCUGAAACCGUGUGCUUACAAGUAGUCAGAGCCCGUUAAUGGGUGAUGGCGUGCCUUUUGUAGAAUGAACCGGCGAGUUACGAUUUGAUGCAAGGUUAAGCAGUAAAUGUGGAGCCGUAGCGAAAGCGAGUCUGAAUAGGGCGUUUAGUAUUUGGUCGUAGACCCGAAACCAGGUGAUCUACCCUUGGUCAGGUUGAAGUUCAGGUAACACUGAAUGGAGGACCGAACCGACUUACGUUGAAAAGUGAGCGGAUGAACUGAGGGUAGCGGAGAAAUUCCAAUCGAACCUGGAGAUAGCUGGUUCUCUCCGAAAUAGCUUUAGGGCUAGCCUCAAGUGAUGAUUAUUGGAGGUAGAGCACUGUUUGGACGAGGGGCCCCUCUCGGGUUACCGAAUUCAGACAAACUCCGAAUGCCAAUUAAUUUAACUUGGGAGUCAGAACAUGGGUGAUAAGGUCCGUGUUCGAAAGGGAAACAGCCCAGACCACCAGCUAAGGUCCCAAAAUAUAUGUUAAGUGGAAAAGGAUGUGGCGUUGCCCAGACAACUAGGAUGUUGGCUUAGAAGCAGCCAUCAUUUAAAGAGUGCGUAAUAGCUCACUAGUCGAGUGACACUGCGCCGAAAAUGUACCGGGGCUAAACAUAUUACCGAAGCUGUGGAUUGUCCUUUGGACAAUGGUAGGAGAGCGUUCUAAGGGCGUUGAAGCAUGAUCGUAAGGACAUGUGGAGCGCUUAGAAGUGAGAAUGCCGGUGUGAGUAGCGAAAGACGGGUGAGAAUCCCGUCCGCCGAUUGACUAAGGUUUCCAGAGGAAGGCUCGUCCGCUCUGGGUUAGUCGGGUCCUAAGCUGAGGCCGACAGGCGUAGGCGAUGGAUAACAGGUUGAUAUUCCUGUACCACCUAUAAUCGUUUUAAUCGAUGGGGGGACGCAGUAGGAUAGGCGAAGCGUGCGAUUGGAUUGCACGUCUAAGCAGUAAGGCUGAGUAUUAGGCAAAUCCGGUACUCGUUAAGGCUGAGCUGUGAUGGGGAGAAGACAUUGAGUCUUCGAGUCGUUGAUUUCACACUGCCGAGAAAAGCCUCUAGAUAGAAAAUAGGUGCCCGUACCGCAAACCGACACAGGUAGUCAAGAUGAGAAUUCUAAGGUGAGCGAGCGAACUCUCGUUAAGGAACUCGGCAAAAUGACCCCGUAACUUCGGGAGAAGGGGUGCUCUUUAGGGUUAACGCCCAGAAGAGCCGCAGUGAAUAGGCCCAAGCGACUGUUUAUCAAAAACACAGGUCUCUGCUAAACCGUAAGGUGAUGUAUAGGGGCUGACGCCUGCCCGGUGCUGGAAGGUUAAGAGGAGUGGUUAGCUUCUGCGAAGCUACGAAUCGAAGCCCCAGUAAACGGCGGCCGUAACUAUAACGGUCCUAAGGUAGCGAAAUUCCUUGUCGGGUAAGUUCCGACCCGCACGAAAGGCGUAACGAUUUGGGCACUGUCUCAACGAGAGACUCGGUGAAAUCAUAGUACCUGUGAAGAUGCAGGUUACCCGCGACAGGACGGAAAGACCCCGUGGAGCUUUACUGUAGCCUGAUAUUGAAAUUCGGCACAGCUUGUACAGGAUAGGUAGGAGCCUUUGAAACGUGAGCGCUAGCUUACGUGGAGGCGCUGGUGGGAUACUACCCUAGCUGUGUUGGCUUUCUAACCCGCACCACUUAUCGUGGUGGGAGACAGUGUCAGGCGGGCAGUUUGACUGGGGCGGUCGCCUCCUAAAAGGUAACGGAGGCGCUCAAAGGUUCCCUCAGAAUGGUUGGAAAUCAUUCAUAGAGUGUAAAGGCAUAAGGGAGCUUGACUGCGAGACCUACAAGUCGAGCAGGGUCGAAAGACGGACUUAGUGAUCCGGUGGUUCCGCAUGGAAGGGCCAUCGCUCAACGGAUAAAAGCUACCCCGGGGAUAACAGGCUUAUCUCCCCCAAGAGUUCACAUCGACGGGGAGGUUUGGCACCUCGAUGUCGGCUCAUCGCAUCCUGGGGCUGUAGUCGGUCCCAAGGGUUGGGCUGUUCGCCCAUUAAAGCGGUACGCGAGCUGGGUUCAGAACGUCGUGAGACAGUUCGGUCCCUAUCCGUCGUGGGCGUAGGAAAUUUGAGAGGAGCUGUCCUUAGUACGAGAGGACCGGGAUGGACAUACCUCUGGUGUACCAGUUGUCGUGCCAACGGCAUAGCUGGGUAGCUAUGUGUGGACGGGAUAAGUGCUGAAAGCAUCUAAGCAUGAAGCCCCCCUCAAGAUGAGAUUUCCCAACUUCGGUUAUAAGAUCCCUCAAAGAUGAUGAGGUUAAUAGGUUCGAGGUGGAAGCAUGGUGACAUGUGGAGCUGACGAAUACUAAUCGAUCGAAGACUUAAUCAA